This 496-nucleotide ribosomal RNA is filed under the name uncultured bacterium. RNAcentral's name for it is "partial 16S ribosomal RNA". It matches the Rfam family "Bacterial small subunit ribosomal RNA", at positions 28 to 506 of the family's 1533-position model. The record is from RNAcentral.
GACGAACGCUGGCGGCGUGCCUAAUACAUGCAAGUUGAGCGCUGAAGGUUGGUACUUGUACCGACUGGAUGAGCAGCGAACGGGUGAGUAACGCGUGGGGAAUCUGCCUUUGAGCGGGGGACAACAUUUGGAAACGAAUGCUAAUACCGCAUAAAAACUUUAAACACAAGUUUUAAGUUUGAAAGAUGCAAUUGCAUCACUCAAAGAUGAUCCCGCGUUGUAUUAGCUAGUUGGUGAGGUAAAGGCUCACCAAGGCGAUGAUACAUAGCCGACCUGAGAGGGGGGGCGGCCACUUGGGGAAGGAGAACCGCCCCAACCCCCGCGGGGGGGCGACAGGGGGGAUUCUUCGAAAAGGGACGAAAGUCUGACGGCGCAACGCCGCGGGAGUGAAGAAGGUUUGGGGGUAGAAAACCUCUUUUGGUGGAAAAAAACGUGGGUGGGGGUGAAAAGCCCAGAAAGUGAGGGAAACAACCAAGAAAGGGCCGCCUACCUACGC